This 188-nucleotide small RNA is filed under the name Xenorhabdus innexi. Its description in RNAcentral is "IscS-1 ICR thermometer". It matches the Rfam family "IscS-1 ICR thermometer". Rfam says of the family: Imprinting control region from upstream of iscS-1 (cysteine desulfurase). Lineage: Bacteria; Pseudomonadati; Pseudomonadota; Gammaproteobacteria; Enterobacterales; Morganellaceae. The record is from Rfam by way of RNAcentral.
CCAAGAAGUUUUAGACGUUGCUGAUCGUCAAGACAGCGAUAAGCGCCGUACUGCUAAUGGCAGGAUUCAAGAAAUGAUUAACGUUAACCUGCGUGCUUAAUUAGCGGUAAAUAAGCGGCAACUAACUGUAUUAAAAGUGUCUUACGGAGCAUGUGAGCAAUGAAAUUACCCAUUUAUUUGGACUAUUC